CAAGUCGAACGAUUAAGACUUCCUUCGGGAAGUGCAUAAAGUGGCGCACGGGUGAGUAACACGUAAGUAAUCUACCUUCGAGUGGGGAAUAACAUCGGGAAACCGAUGCUAAUACCGCAUAAUGCAGCGGCAUCGAAAGAUGACAGUUGUUAAAGGAGCAAUUCGCUUGAAGAGGAGCUUGCGGCAGAUUAGCUAGUUGGUAAGGUAAUGGCUUACCAAGGCUUCGAUCUGUAUCCGGUCUAAGAGGACGGUCGGACACACUGACACUGAAUAACGGGUCAGACUCCUACGGGAGGCAGCAGUCGGGAAUUUUGGGCAAUGGGCGAAAGCCUGACCCAGCAACGCCGCGUGAAGGAUGAAGUAUUUCGGUAUGUAAACUUCGAAAGAAUGGGAAGAACUCAAUGACGGUACCAUUUAUAAGCUCCGGCUAACUACGUGCCAGCAGCCGCGGUAAUACGUAGGGAGCAAGCGUUGUUCGGAUUUACUGGGCGUAAAGGGCGCGUAGGCGGCAAAUUAAGUCAGCUGUGAAAUCUCCGAGCUUAACUCGGAACUGUCAGCUGAUACUGAUCUGCUAGAGUGCGGAAGGGGCAAUCGGAAUUCUUGGUGUAGCGGUGAAAUGCGUAGAUAUCAAGAGGAACACCUGAGGUGAAGACGGGUUGCUGGGCCGACACUGACGCUGAGUGCGCGAAAGCCAGGGGAGCAAACGGGAUUAGAUACCCCGGUAGUCCUGGCCUUAAACGAUGAAUACUUGGUGUCUGGAGUCUCUAUAGCUCCGGGUGCCGUCGCUAACGUUUUUAGUAUUCCGCCUGGGGAGUACGCACGCAAGUGUGAAACUCAAAGGAAUUGACGGGGACCCGCACAAGCGGUGGA
Molecule: ribosomal RNA, 870 nt
Filed under: uncultured Bacillota bacterium
Lineage: Bacteria; Bacillati; Bacillota
Description: bacterial SSU rRNA
Rfam family: Bacterial small subunit ribosomal RNA
Source: RNAcentral